AAAGAGGGGAGAAAUGACAUUUCCUCCCAGCACUAUCACCUGCAAUCUGCGCGGUGAUAACCUUUCCAUCCGUUGUGAAAAGUCACCUGCCACGUGGACGGGCUCGUUCUCCCGCACCUGCUCUGCUCUUAUCUCCGUUCCUCUGGCACCUUUUCCAGGGCUGUGUGACAAAAGGGACGCUGCCACUCCAGCUCCUGCGCCUGUCACCGCCUGUCCUGAGCGUGCCUGUGGCAGGAUGUUCCUCUGCCCCUUUCCAGCUCCUGUCACUCCAGUUAAAUGCGACUUCUAGAAGAGGAGCUUGAACUUUGGAGAGCGAAGGCAGAGGAAAAGCAGCCCCCUCAGAGAAUACAAAUUGUUCUGUGAGCAGCAGCUGGACAGAAAACAGCAGCUCCAUCCUGAGCAACAGCUUCAUCUGUCUGUGCAGAGCCCUGCUCCUCUCCCUGCAGAGCAGGAACUUGCCAGAGGCUUUUCCUUUCAGCAGAGCCCCCACCAGCUGUGCCCACACUCCCUGAAGGAUGCAGAGGUUUGUGGAGGCCGAGGCUGGCAGGAAUGAAUCCCUGGCAGAGCAGCAGCCUCUGGGGGCUGGGAUUAUCAAGGUUGGUUUAGCAACAAGCUCUGCUCAAGCACAUCAGACAUGACUGGACAUCUCCGAGGGCCAGCCAGCAGUGCUGAGGAAUUCCAAAAACAUCCUCCUGCAAAGCACAGCCUGCUCUCUUCAUCCCAGUUUAACCAGUUAAAGGCACAGCAAAGCUGUGGUGGGUGCCCACCAUGGCGUGCAGCUGUUUCUGCAAAUUCAGGGUUUACAAUUUCUUCAUUAAAUUAUAU
This is a long non-coding RNA of Passer domesticus (house sparrow), 825 nucleotides long. RefSeq lists it as uncharacterized. The transcript has 3 exons. The record is from RefSeq and is a predicted model, not a curated record. NCBI's taxonomy places the organism in Eukaryota, Metazoa, Chordata, Aves, Passeriformes, Passeridae.